AUAUCAUCGAGCUCUAAAACACUAAGCUCCUAAUAUUCCGACUGCUUCCUUCUUGUGUUGACAUUACAAAAGGUUUUGCAAGAAUCUAUCCAUUGGAGCAGUGAAGCCAUAUUGGAGUAACUAAUUGAUUUAUAAGACUUUUUGUAGCGUUGGUAGCAAAUUUUUGGUUGCAAUGUACUUAAUUUAAGCUUGUUGAUAGCAAAAAGACGUCUUUGUUUAUUCUUUCAUUGUAAACUCUUUACCAAAAAAAAGAUUGAACAAAUAUUACAAAGUGUGUGAUAACAUAUAUAUAUUAAAGCAUUGACUUUUUGUUUCCA
Molecule: long non-coding RNA, 317 nt
Organism: Cucumis melo (muskmelon)
Lineage: Eukaryota; Viridiplantae; Streptophyta; Magnoliopsida; Cucurbitales; Cucurbitaceae
Exons: 2
Source: RefSeq, a predicted model, not a curated record